ACGGGAGGCAGCAGUGGGGAAUAUUGCACAAUGGGGGAAACCCUGAUGCAGCGACGCCGCGUGAGUGAAGAAGUAUUUCGGUAUGUAAAGCUCUAUCAGCAGGGAAGAAAAUGACGGUACCUGACUAAGAAGCCCCGGCUAACUACGUGCCAGCAGCCGCGGUAAUACGUAGGGGGCAAGCGUUAUCCGGAUUUACUGGGUGUAAAGGGAGCGUAGACGGCGAUGCAAGUCUGAUGUGAAAGCCCGGGGCUCAACCCCGGCACUGCAUUGGAAACUGUGUUGCUAGAGUGCAGGAGAGGUAAGUGGAAUUCCUAGUGUAGCGGUGAAAUGCGUAGAUAUUAGGAGGAACACCAGUGGCGAAGGCGGCUUACGGGACUGUAACUGACGUUGAGGCUCGAAAGCGUGGGGAGCAAACAGGAUUAGAUACCCUGGUA
This 434-nucleotide ribosomal RNA is filed under the name uncultured Lachnospiraceae bacterium. Its description in RNAcentral is "partial 16S ribosomal RNA". It matches the Rfam family "Bacterial small subunit ribosomal RNA", at positions 341 to 792 of the family's 1533-position model. Lineage: Bacteria; Bacillati; Bacillota; Clostridia; Lachnospirales; Lachnospiraceae. The record is from RNAcentral.